GAUUAUAUUUUCAGGCAUCCGUGUACAAGAUUUGCAGAGAAAUGUAUGACGAUGGAGUGGGUUUACCCUUUCAAAGUCAGCCUGAUCUUAUUGGAGACAAGUAUGUGAUAAGUAUUUGGAUUUGAGAGUAGACCUUUCAUAGCGAGGCUUAUCAGGUUGAGGGGAGGUGAUGACUGGAAAUAUAUUUAUUUAUUUUAAAUCCCACUUUGGCUUUAGUAAAAUCUGAAUAUGUGUGCAUUUCUAGUUUCUUACACCAAAUGUAGCUUCCGUAAGUUCAUGCAAGUACAGUGGGUCUUGCAUCACUGAAGUCUGAAUUUUAUAUUAGCAACUUAAAAGUUUACUGUGGCCUCUUUCUUCUGAGCAGGUUAGUAGGAGGGCUGCUUUCCCUCAGCCUGGAUUACUGCUUUGUCCUAGAAGAUGAAGAUGGCAUAUGUGGUUAUGCCUUGGGCACUGUAGAUGUGACCCCCUUUAUUAAAAAAUGUAAAAUUUCCUGGAUCCCCUUCAUGCAGGAGAAGUAUACCAAGCCAAAUGGUGACAAGGAACUCUCUGAGGCUGAGAAAAUAAUGUUGAGUUUCCAUGAAGAACAGGAAGUACUGCCAGAAACUUUCCUUGCUAAUUUCCCUUCUCUGAUAAAGAUGGACAUUCACAAAAAAGUAACUGACCCAAGUGUGGCCAAAAGCAUGAUGGCUUGCCUCCUGUCUUCACUGAAGGCUAAUGGCUCCCGGGGAGCUUUCUGUGAAGU
Molecule: small RNA, 742 nt
Filed under: Pan troglodytes (chimpanzee)
Lineage: Eukaryota; Metazoa; Chordata; Mammalia; Primates; Hominidae
Description: processed transcript
Source: RNAcentral